ACACUCCUACGGGAGGCAGCAGUGGGGAAUAUUGGACAAUGGGCGCAAGCCUGAUCCAGCCAUGCCGCGUGAGUGAUGAAGGCCCUAGGGUUGUAAAGCUCUUUCACCGGUGAAGAUAAUGACGGUAACCGGAGAAGAAGCCCCGGCUAACUUCGUGCCAGCAGCCGCGGUAAUACGAAGGGGGCUAGCGUUGUUCGGAUUUACUGGGCGUAAAGCGCACGUAGGCGGACUAUUAAGUCAGGGGUGAAAUCCCGGGGCUCAACCCCGGAACUGCCUUUGAUACUGGUAGUCUUGAGUUCGAGAGAGGUGAGUGGAAUUCCGAGUGUAGAGGUGAAAUGCGUAGAUAUUCGGAGGAACACCAGUGGCGAAGGCGGCUCACUGGCUCGAUACUGACGCUGAGGUGCGAAAGCGUGGGGAGCAAACAGGAUUAGAAACCCUAGUAGUCCC
This 447-nucleotide ribosomal RNA is filed under the name uncultured organism. Its description in RNAcentral is "partial 16S ribosomal RNA". It matches the Rfam family "Bacterial small subunit ribosomal RNA", at positions 333 to 797 of the family's 1533-position model. The record is from RNAcentral.